GAGCGGUAUUGUUUCUUCGGAAACGAGAGAGCGGCGCACGGGUGCGGAACACGUGUGCAACCUGCCUUUAUCUGGGGGAUAGCCUUUCGAAAGGAAGAUUAAUACCCCAUAAUAUUUUGAAUGGCAUCAUUUAAAAUUGAAAACUCCGGUGGAUAGAGAUGGGCACGCGCAAGAUUAGAUAGUUGGUAGGGUAACGGCCUACCAAGUCAGUGAUCUUUAGGGGGCCUGAGAGGGUGAUCCCCCACACUGGUACUGCCACACGGACCAGACUCCUACGGGAGGCAGCAGUGAGGAAUAUUGGACAAUGGGUGAGAGCCUGAUCCAGCCAUCCCGCGUGAAGGACGACGGCCCUAUGGGUUGUAAACUUCUUUUGUACAGGGAUAAACCUUUCCACGUGUGGAAAGCUGAAGGUACUGUACGAAUAAGCACCGGCUAACUCCGUG
This 443-nucleotide ribosomal RNA is filed under the name uncultured bacterium. Its description in RNAcentral is "bacterial SSU rRNA". It matches the Rfam family "Bacterial small subunit ribosomal RNA", at positions 64 to 507 of the family's 1533-position model. The record is from RNAcentral.